This 497-nucleotide ribosomal RNA is filed under the name uncultured bacterium. RNAcentral describes it as "partial 16S ribosomal RNA". It matches the Rfam family "Bacterial small subunit ribosomal RNA", at positions 28 to 507 of the family's 1533-position model. The record is from RNAcentral.
GAUGAACGCUGGCGGCGUGCCUAAUACAUGCAAGUCGAGCGAACGGACGAGAAGCUUGCGUCUCUGAUGUUAGCGGCGGACGGGUGAGGAACACGUGGAUAAACUAACUAUAAGACUGGGAUAACUUCGGGAAACCGGAGCUAAUACCGGAUAAUAUUUUGAACCGCAUGGUUCAAAAGUGAAAGAAGGUCUUGCUGUCACUUAUAGAUGAAUCCGCGCUGCAUUAGCUAGUUGGUAGAGUAACGGCUUACCAAGGCAACGAUGCAUAGCCGACCUGAGAGGGUGAUCGGCCACACUGUAACUGAGACACGGUCCAGACUCCUACGGGAGGCAGCAGUAGGGAAUCUUCCGCAAUGGGCGAAAGCCUGACGGAGCAACGCCGCGUGAGGGAUGAAGGUCUUCUGAUCGUAAAACUCUGUUAUUAGGGAAGAACAUAUGUGUAAUUACCCGUGCACAUCAUGACGGUACCUAGUCAGAAAGCCACGGCUAACUACGUG